CUGCAAUGGUUGCACGGUCUCCGUUUGCGAAGACAUAGUGAAGGGGCAACUGAGACGCCUAAUCACGGUCAUCUGUAUAUGUGAUGGCGGCAGCGGACCAGCCAAAGACGGAAGCAUUGGCUGUAUCGAACCAGAAGAAAACGAAAGCAGCGAAGGCAGCACUACUACAGAGCAAUGCUGGGGACGACGCGUUGGACGUCUUCAACAACUUCUAGUUCGGGCCGAACGAGGACGAGAAUGACUACAGCAGCGUGGUAGCCUUCUGAAGUAUCAAGAAAGGAAAUACACUUAGCAGUCGGCGAUCUCUGUACGACGUGGGCGGCCUCUAACGAAAGAGCGGACAUUCAAGACAGAGCCCAGCACACAGCGAAAAGCCGAAUAUUUUUUCUGCGUCACCAAAGGGCCGUUCGCAGUGUGCUUUGGAUGGCGCAUGAGGUGAAAAGCUUUCUCGGUAAGGUACAAACUUCUCCAAGCACACUCGCCAGUGUUGGAAACACUUCUUGAACGCAUCUCAGGGAUGAUAAUAAACCCGGUUACCACACUGCA
Molecule: long non-coding RNA, 546 nt
Organism: Rhipicephalus microplus (southern cattle tick)
Lineage: Eukaryota; Metazoa; Arthropoda; Arachnida; Ixodida; Ixodidae
Source: RefSeq, a predicted model, not a curated record